UACAGAGGGGGCAAGCGUUGUUCGGAAUUACUGGGCGUAAAGGGCGCGUAGGCGGCCCGCUAAGUCGAACGUGAAAUCCCCGGGCUCAACCCGGGAACUGCGUCCGAUACUGGUGGGCUUGAAUCCGGGAGAGGGAUGCGGAAUUCCAGGUGUAGCGGUGAAAUGCGUAGAUAUCUGGAGGAACACCGGUGGCGAAGGCGGCGUUCUGGACUGCUACUGACACUGAGGAACGAAAGCCAGGGGAGCAAACGGG
This 253-nucleotide ribosomal RNA is filed under the name uncultured bacterium. RNAcentral describes it as "partial 16S ribosomal RNA". It matches the Rfam family "Bacterial small subunit ribosomal RNA", at positions 524 to 776 of the family's 1533-position model. The record is from RNAcentral.